This 387-nucleotide unclassified non-coding RNA is filed under the name Hevea brasiliensis (rubber tree). The record is from RNAcentral. Lineage: Eukaryota; Viridiplantae; Streptophyta; Magnoliopsida; Malpighiales; Euphorbiaceae.
GCCUUGAGCCUUUAAUAACUAUGUAUGGGAUAUAAUAGGUUUAUUUUUUCCUUUCUUAAAUCAUUCAUGGAAGUUUAGUAAGUUCAACUUUGAAAAAAGAAAUGAAAAUUGAAGAAAAUCAUGUAAGAAUCUCCAGCCUAUGUCAGAACCAUUUUGUUUCAACUGAAAAUUGAAGAAACUACUUAAAUUGAGGCUGAUGUUCUCCGUGGCGCAGGCGUUAUGACAAACUAGGGAGGGAAGGAUUUUGGGUUCAAAUCCUAUCUUUGUUCUGAAGGAAGAAAGGAUUAAAAUUAGAUGGAAAUGCUACCUUUGUAACUUCACUCUGAUUUUUUUUUUCCCCUCUUAAUUUUCCCUUAAAAUUCCUUCCUUAUAUAUAUAUAUAUAUAU